RNAcentral lists this ribosomal RNA (943 nucleotides) under uncultured archaeon. RNAcentral describes it as "bacterial SSU rRNA". It matches the Rfam family "Archaeal small subunit ribosomal RNA", at positions 1 to 922 of the family's 1478-position model. The record is from RNAcentral.
UUCCGGUUGAUCCUGCCGGACCGUUACUGCUAUCGGGGUGGGACUAAGACAUGCGAGUCGAGCGUCUCUAGCUAUGUUGAGACGCGGCAGACGGCUCAGUAACACGUGGCUAACCUACCCUCAGGACGAGGAUAAACCCGGGAAACUGGGGCUAAUACUCGAUAGGUGAGAAUGUCUGGAAUGAUUUCUCAUUCAAAGGGCUUUAGAAACAUGCUUCUAAAGUCGCCUGGGGAUGGGGCCGCGUCCGAUCAGGUUGUUGGUGAGGUAACGGCUCACCAAGCCUAUAACCGGUACGGGCCGUGAGAGCGGUAGCCCGGAGAUGGGUACUGAGACAAGGACCCAGGCCCUACGGGGCGCAGCAGUCGCGAAAACUCCGCAAUGCACGAAAGUGUGACGGGGCUACCCCGAGUGCCAUCCGCUGAGGAUGGCUUUUCUUUGGUGUAACUAGCCGGGGGAAUAAGGAGAGGGCAAGACUGGUGUCAGCCGCCGCGGUAAUACCAGCUCUCCGAGUGGUAGGGAUGAUUAUUGGGCUUAAAGCGUCCGUAGCCGGCUUAGCAAGUCUCCUGUUAAAUUCAGCGACCUAAUCGUUGAGCCGCGGGAGAUACUACUAGGCUAGGAGGCGGGAGAGGUCGACGGUACUUCUGGGGUAGGGGUGAAAUCCUAUAAUCCCGGGAGGACCACCAGUGGCGAAGGCUGUUGACUAGAACGCGCUCGACGGUGAGGGACGAAAGCUGGGGGAGCGAACCGGAUUAGAUACCCGGGUAGUCCCAGCCGUAAACGAUGCGGGCUAGGUGUUGGGGUGGCUACGUGCCACUUCAGUGCCGCAGGGAAGCCAUUAAGCCCGCCGCCUGGGGAGUACGGCCGCAAGGCUGAAACUUAAAGGAAUUGGCGGGGGAGCACCACAAGGCGUGAAGCUUGCGGUUCAAUUGGAAUCAACGCCGGU